UACGGGGGGGGCAAGCGUUGUUCGGAAUUACUGGGCGUAAAGGGCUUGUAGGUGGCCAACUAAGUCAGACGUGAAAUCCCUCGGCUUAACCGGGGAACUGCGUCUGAUACUGGAUGGCUGGAGUGUGGGAGAGGGAUGCGGAAUUCCAGGUGUAGCGGUGAAAUGCGUAGAUAUCUGGAGGAACACCGGUGGCGAAGGCGGCUCACUGGUCCGGUACUGACGCUGAGGUGCGAAAGCGUGGGGAGCAAACAGG
Molecule: ribosomal RNA, 253 nt
Filed under: uncultured bacterium
Lineage: Bacteria
Description: partial 16S ribosomal RNA
Rfam family: Bacterial small subunit ribosomal RNA
Source: RNAcentral